This 76-nucleotide transfer RNA is filed under the name Rhodovulum sulfidophilum. RNAcentral's name for it is "tRNA-Val". It matches the Rfam family "tRNA". Rfam says of the family: Transfer RNA (tRNA) molecules are approximately 80 nucleotides in length. Lineage: Bacteria; Pseudomonadati; Pseudomonadota; Alphaproteobacteria; Rhodobacterales; Paracoccaceae. The record is from RNAcentral.
GGGCCGAUAGCUCAGGGGUAGAGCGGAUGGUUUACACCCAUCGACAGCGGGGGUUCGAUCCCCUCUCGGCCCACCA